This 133-nucleotide ribosomal RNA is filed under the name uncultured eukaryote. RNAcentral's name for it is "partial 18S ribosomal RNA". It matches the Rfam family "Eukaryotic small subunit ribosomal RNA", at positions 1299 to 1458 of the family's 1831-position model. The record is from RNAcentral.
UCGUGGUGUGAACUGUCUGCUUAAUUGCGAUAACGAGCGAGACUCCGACUGUUAAAUAGCGACCCGCUUACUUGGCGAGCACGCUUCUUAACGGGAUUCGCGACUUCAAGUCGCAAGAAAUGGAGCAAUAACA